UGAAGAUGCAGUGUACCCGCGGCAAGACGGAAAGACCCCGUGAACCUUUACUAUAGCUUGACACUGAACAUUGAGCCUUGAUGUGUAGGAUAGGUGGGAGGCUUUGAAGUGUGGACGCCAGUCUGCAUGGAGCCGACCUUGAAAUACCACCCUUUAAUGUUUGAUGUUCUAACGUUGGCCCGUAAUCCGGGUUGCGGACAGUGUCUGGUGGGUAGUUUGACUGGGGCGGUCUCCUCCUAAAGAGUAACGGAGGAGCACGAAGGUUGGCUAAUCCUGGUCGGACAUCAGGAGGUUAGUGCAAUGGCAUAAGCCAGCUUGACUGCGAGCGUGACGGCGCGAGCAGGUGCGAAAGCAGGUCAUAGUGAUCCGGUGGUUCUGAAUGGAAGGGCCAUCGCUCAACGGAUAAAAGGUACUCCGGGGAUAACAGGCUGAUACCGCCCAAGAGUUCAUAUCGACGGCGGUGUUUGGCACCUCGAUGUCGGCUCAUCACAUCCUGGGGCUGAAGUAGGUCCCAAGGGUAUGGCUGUUCGCCAUUUAAAGUGGUACGCGAGCUGGGUUUAGAACGUCGUGAGACAGUUCGGUCCCUAUCUGCCGUGGGCG
Molecule: ribosomal RNA, 600 nt
Filed under: Escherichia coli
Lineage: Bacteria; Pseudomonadati; Pseudomonadota; Gammaproteobacteria; Enterobacterales; Enterobacteriaceae
Description: partial 23S ribosomal RNA
Rfam family: Bacterial large subunit ribosomal RNA
Source: RNAcentral